UGCAGCAAUGUAAACGGGUGGGAGCGGCGUAAGGGUGCGUAACGCGUGGGUAAUUUGCCGUGAAGUUGGGAAUAACUCCGAGAAAUCGGAGCUAAUGCCGAAUGUGGUUGCCUGGGGGCAUCUCCGGGUUACUAAAGUUGGGGACCGAAAGGCCUGACGCUUCACGAUAAGCCCGCGCCCUAUCAGCUAGUUGGUGAGGUAACGGCCCACCAAGGCUAAGACGGGUAGCUGGUCUGAGAGGACGACCAGCCACACUGGAACUGAGACACGGUCCAGACACCUACGGGUGGCAGCAGUCGAGAAUUUUUCACAAUGGGCGCAAGCCUGAUGGAGCGACGCCGCGUGGGGGAUGAAGGGCUUCGGCCCGUAAACCCCUGUCAUUUGCGAACAAACCUUUCCCGAUAACACCGGGAGAGCUGAUGGUAGCGAAAGAGGAAGGGACGGCUAACUCUGUGCCAGCAGCCGCGGUAAUACAGAGGUCCCAAGCGUUGUUCGGAUUCACUGGGCGUAAAGGGUGCGUAGGUGGUGAGGUAAGUCGGAUGUGAAAUCUCUGAGCUCAACUCAGAAAUGGCAUUGGAAACUACCUUGCUAGAGGAUUGGAGGGGGGACUGGAAUUCACGGUGUAGCA
Molecule: ribosomal RNA, 628 nt
Filed under: uncultured Verrucomicrobiota bacterium
Lineage: Bacteria; Pseudomonadati; Verrucomicrobiota
Description: bacterial SSU rRNA
Rfam family: Bacterial small subunit ribosomal RNA
Source: RNAcentral